AACGCUUGUAACGUUCGUUUGGCGCAUUUCUCGAAGGUAAGCACCGCGACCGAUACGAAAGGCCGACGAAGCGAUUCGAUUGAGGGCGAGUCCUCUUACGGGGACUCGUAACCAGUCUUUUCGUUCGAAUCGUCGGAUCGCAGUAUGUAUCGAGCGCCAAAGUAAAAUAUACAUCGGCCGUAAAAGCUCGUCGAGCGAUGGAUAGUCGGUUAAUAGUGUUGGUACUUGCUCGCAGGUGCCGAUCUAUUCGAUUCGACUUAGAAGUCGUCGACGACGUUACGAUGUAUAGGCGUCUGCGGUGUCAGUGUCGGCCACCCAUCCGACCCGUCUUGAAACACGGACCAAGGAGUCUAACAUAUGCGCGAGCUAAUGGGUGGAAAACCCAAAAGCGUAAUAAAAGUAAACGCUGUUUCGGACAGCUAAGGUACGAUCUUAGAGUCCGAGCGACUUUAAGCGCAGUACCGUCCCGUCCCGACCGCAUGUCGGUAGGGCGGAGAUAGAGUGCAUACGUUGGGACCCGAAAGAUGGUGAACUAUGCCUGAGCAGAGCGAAGCCAGAGGAAACUCUGGUGGAGGUUCGUAGCGGUUCUGACGUGCAAAUCGAUCGUCAGACUGGGUAU
This 619-nucleotide ribosomal RNA is filed under the name Aporcelinus mediterraneus. RNAcentral describes it as "partial large subunit ribosomal RNA". It matches the Rfam family "Eukaryotic large subunit ribosomal RNA", at positions 457 to 918 of the family's 3401-position model. Lineage: Eukaryota; Metazoa; Nematoda; Enoplea; Dorylaimida; Aporcelaimidae. The record is from RNAcentral.